Molecule: ribosomal RNA, 406 nt
Filed under: uncultured bacterium
Lineage: Bacteria
Description: partial 16S ribosomal RNA
Rfam family: Bacterial small subunit ribosomal RNA
Source: RNAcentral
AUCGAACGCUGGCGGCAUGCCUAACACAUGCAAGUCGAGCGAGCGGCGGACGGGUGAGUAUUGUCCGGGAAACUGCCUGAUGUAGGGGGAUAACUCCUGGAAACGGUAGCUAAUACCGCAUACCAUCAGAUUUGCCCAGAUGGGAUUAGCUAGUGGGUGGGGUAACGGCCCACCUAGGCGACGAUGCCUAGCUGGUCUGAGAGGAUGACCGGCCACACUGGAACUGAGACACGGUCCAGACUCCUACGGGAGGCAGCAGUGGGGAAUAUUGGACAAUGGGCGAAAGCCUGAUCCAGCCAUGCCGCGUGUGUGAAGAAGGCCUUCGGGUUGUAAAGCACUUUCGUCGGGGAGGCGUUACCUGCAGAAGAAGCACCGGCUAACUCCGUGCCAGCAGCCGCGGUAAUUC